This 492-nucleotide ribosomal RNA is filed under the name uncultured bacterium. RNAcentral's name for it is "partial 16S ribosomal RNA". It matches the Rfam family "Bacterial small subunit ribosomal RNA", at positions 29 to 507 of the family's 1533-position model. The record is from RNAcentral.
AGUGAACGCUGGCGGUAGGCCUAACACAUGCAAGUCGAACGGCAGCACAGUAAGAGCUUGCUCUUACGGGUGGCGAGUGGCGGACGGGUGAGGAAUACAUCGGAAUCUACUUUUUCGUGGGGGAUAACGUAGGGAAACUUACGCUAAUACCGAAUACGACCUACGGGUGAAAGCAGGGGAUCUUCGGACCUUGCGCGAUUGAAUGAGCCGAUGUCGGAUUAGCUAGUUGGCGGGGUAACGGCCCACCAAGGCGACGAUCCGUAGCUGGUCUGAGAGGAUGAUCAGCCACACUGGAACUGAGACACGGUCCAGACUCCUACGGGAGGCAGCAGUGGGGAAUAUUGGACAAUGGGCGCAAGCCUGAUCCAGCCAUACCGCGUGGGUGAAGAAGGCCUUCGGGUUGUAAAGCCCUUUUGUUGGGAAAGAAAAGCAGCAGGUUAAUACCCCGCUGUUCUGACGGUACCCAAAGAAUAAGCACCGGCUAACUUCGUG